RNAcentral lists this ribosomal RNA (800 nucleotides) under Arthrobacter sp. JSM 2215090. Its description in RNAcentral is "bacterial SSU rRNA". It matches the Rfam family "Bacterial small subunit ribosomal RNA", at positions 35 to 844 of the family's 1533-position model. Lineage: Bacteria; Bacillati; Actinomycetota; Actinomycetes; Micrococcales; Micrococcaceae. The record is from RNAcentral.
GCAGGGCGGAGGUUUCUAUACAUGCAUGUCGAACGAUGAAGCCCAGCUUGCUGGGUGGAUUAGUGGCGAACGGGUGAGUAACACGUGAGUAACCUGCCCCUGACUCUGGGAUAAGCCCGGGAAACUGGGUCUAAUACCGGAUAUGACUUUUGACCGCAUGGUUGAGGGUGGAAAGAUUUAUCGGUUGGGGAUGGACUCGCGGCCUAUCAGCUUGUUGGUGAGGUAAUGGCUCACCAAGGCGACGACGGGUAGCCGGCCUGAGAGGGUGACCGGCCACACUGGGACUGAGACACGGCCCAGACUCCUACGGGAGGCAGCAGUGGGGAAUAUUGCACAAUGGGCGCAAGCCUGAUGCAGCGACGCCGCGUGAGGGAUGACGGCCUUCGGGUUGUAAACCUCUUUCAGUAGGGAAGAAGCGAGAGUGACGGUACCUGCAGAAGAAGCGCCGGCUAACUACGUGCCAGCAGCCGCGGUAAUACGUAGGGCGCAAGCGUUAUCCGGAUUUAUUGGGCGUAAAGAGCUCGUAGGCGGUUUGUCGCGUCUAUCGUGAAAGUCCGAGGCUCAACCUCGGAUCUGCGGUGGGUACGGGCAGACUAGAGUGAUGUAGGGGAGACUGGAAUUCCUGGUGUAGCGGUGAAAUGCGCAGAUAUCAGGAGGAACACCGAUGGCGAAGGCAGGUCUCUGGGCAUUUACUGACGCUGAGGAGCGAAAGCAUGGGGAGCGAACAGGAUUAGAUACCCUGGUAGUCCAUGCCGUAAACGUUGGGCACUAGGUGUGGGGGGACAUUCCACGUUUUCCGC